This 343-nucleotide unclassified non-coding RNA is filed under the name soil metagenome. RNAcentral describes it as "partial contains 5.8S ribosomal RNA, internal transcribed spacer 2, and large subunit ribosomal RNA". The stretch from base 1 to 119 matches the Rfam family "5.8S ribosomal RNA", at positions 35 to 154 of the family's 154-position model. The record is from RNAcentral.
GAUGAAGAACGCAGCGAAAUGCGAUACGUAAUGUGAAUUGCAAAUUCAGUGAAUCAUCGAGUCUUUGAACGCACAUUGCGCCCCCUGGUAUUCCGGGGGGCAUGCCUGUCCGAGCGUCAUUGCUGCCCUCAAGCACGGCUUGUGUGUUGGGCCCCGUCCUCCGAUCCCGGGGGACGGGCCCGAAAGGCAGCGGCGGCACCGCGUCCGGUCCUCGAGCGUAUGGGGCUUUGUCACCCGCUCUGUAGGCCCGGCCGGCGCUUGCCGAUCAACCCAAAUUUUUUAUCCAGGUUGACCUCGGAUCAGGUAGGGAUACCCGCUGAACUUAAGCAUAUUAAGCGGAGGA